This 347-nucleotide unclassified non-coding RNA is filed under the name soil metagenome. RNAcentral's name for it is "partial contains 5.8S ribosomal RNA, internal transcribed spacer 2, and large subunit ribosomal RNA". The stretch from base 1 to 120 matches the Rfam family "5.8S ribosomal RNA", at positions 35 to 154 of the family's 154-position model. The record is from RNAcentral.
GAUGAAGAACGUAGCAAAAUGCGAUAAGUAAUGUGAAUUGCAGAAUUCAGUGAAUCAUCGAAUCUUUGAACGCACAUUGCGCCCGCUGGUAUUCCGGCGGGCAUGCCUGUUCGAGCGUCAUUUCAACCCUCAAGCCCCCCGGGUUUGGUGUUGGGGACCGGCUCUGCCUCACGGCGGUGCCGCCCCCGAAAUACAUUGGCGGUCUCGCUGCAGCCUCCAUUGCGUAGUAGCUAACACCUCGCAACUGGAACGCGGCGCGGCCAUGCCGUAAAACCCCAACUUCUGAAUGUUGACCUCGGAUCAGGUAGGAAUACCCGCUGAACUUAAGCAUAUCAAUAAGCGGAGGA